GUCUAUGGCCAGGCCACCCUGAUCGAGCCCAAUCCCGUCUGAUCUCGGAAGCUAAGUAGGGUCAGGCCUGGUAAGUACUUGGAUGAGAGACCACCUAGGAAGACCAAGUGUUGUAGGCA
RNAcentral lists this ribosomal RNA (119 nucleotides) under Pteropus alecto (black flying fox). The record is from RNAcentral. Lineage: Eukaryota; Metazoa; Chordata; Mammalia; Chiroptera; Pteropodidae.